UCGAACUCCUGAGCUCAAAUGAUCCGCCUGCCUCGCCCUCCCAGAGUGCUAGGAUUUUACAGGUGUGAGCCACCGAGUCCGGCCUACCCCACUGGCAUUUAAAGGUGUGGUUCUUUCAUUCUCCUUGCCCUAGGGACACCAGGAAGGACAAGUCCCUCUGCACGGAUGAGCAUGUCAGCAUCUGCCUUUCGGCUUCUCAGAUUGCUGCUCUGCGCGUCCGCACACUUGCCAGCAUUUCUCCGGGGACGUCCCAGGAGCAGAAUUGCUGGGCAUGGGGUCUCCGGGCCACAGCCACCCACGGGCCGACGCUGGGGCCUUCUGCCAGGAGCCACAGGAGGGCCAUAGUCUCCAGCCAGCCGGACACCUUCCUGCACAGAGGCCUCUCUGUCCUCACCGCUGCUAGCUCCUCCUCUGGGCCCUGGGGACAGCCUGGCCUGGCCUGCCCGCUGCAAGACAAAGCCACUUUUUCCUGUGUCCCAGAUCCCCACCUGGUGACCAGCUCCCCUUGGCUCUGGUCGUCCUCUGCCCCAGCCCCUUCCCCUGGCUGGACACCUCCAGCUGCUCUCCUGGCUCGAAUAACCCUGUCCUUCGUCCCAUUCCCCUGCCCCAGGGCCUCUGCUGUGUUUCCAGCUGGGAUCGGGUCACUCUGUCUCUGUCUGGUCAGUCCAGACGGGGUGAGGCUGUGUUCUCCUUCUGGGAGCCCAGCCCAGGGCUGACCAGUAGGACCCUCUAGAAGCCAGGGUGGUGCUCAGGAUGCCUGGACCCCGCCUCCACCUUUGCCCUUCUCCAAGCCCUGCUCCAGGCCCCUCACCCCACCAUCUUCCCAGACUCACUAAUGCCACGGACACCUGGCCAAUGACACAGGGGCUGCCUUGGUCCCCCGGCCGGCCUUCCUUGAUCCCUUCUUGGGGAGGCCUCAGCUGACCUGCCUAUCUGCGCCUCUGUGUCCUUAGACCUGAGGCACUGGUGUCUGUGUCUCAGGCUGUAGGGGCAGCUUCCCUGGCCAGGGAGUGUCCUGGGUCCACUUCUCCUCUGGGAUCAUCCACCUGAAGUUGGGGCUCAUUCAUAGUAAGGAACUUUGAUGGGGGCCCUGUGUCUUUCCUGUGCUGAGGUCUGAUCACGUCCUCUUUCCACUCUG
Molecule: long non-coding RNA, 1138 nt
Organism: Lemur catta (Ring-tailed lemur)
Lineage: Eukaryota; Metazoa; Chordata; Mammalia; Primates; Lemuridae
Exons: 2
Source: RefSeq, a predicted model, not a curated record